This 466-nucleotide ribosomal RNA is filed under the name uncultured bacterium. Its description in RNAcentral is "partial 16S ribosomal RNA". It matches the Rfam family "Bacterial small subunit ribosomal RNA", at positions 28 to 507 of the family's 1533-position model. The record is from RNAcentral.
GAUGAACGCUGGCGGCGUGCUUAACACAUGCAAGUCGAACGAUGAAGCUCAGCUUGCUGGGUGGAUUAGUUGCGAACGGGUGAGUAACACGUGAGUAACUUGCCCUUAACUCUGGGAUAAGCCUGGGAAACUAGGUCUAAUACCGGAUAGGAGCUUCCACCGCAUGGUGGGUGUUGGAAAGAUUUAUCGGUUUUGGAUGGACUCGCGGCCUAUCAGCUUGUUGGUGAGGUAAUGGCUAACCAAGGCGACGACGGGUAGCCGGCCUGGGAGGGUGACCGGCCACACUGGGACUGAGACACGGCCCAGACUCCUACGGGAGGCAGCAGUGGGGAAUAUUGCACAAUGGGCGAAAGCCUGAUGCAGAGACGCCGCGUGAGGGAUGACGGCCUUCGGGUUGUAAACCUCUUUCAGUAGGGAAGAAGCGAAAGUGACGGUACCUGCAGAAGAAGCACCGGCUAACUACGUG